RNAcentral lists this transfer RNA (72 nucleotides) under Chloroflexota bacterium. RNAcentral describes it as "Chloroflexi bacterium (groundwater metagenome) tRNA-Gly". It matches the Rfam family "tRNA". Rfam says of the family: Transfer RNA (tRNA) molecules are approximately 80 nucleotides in length. Lineage: Bacteria; Bacillati; Chloroflexota. The record is from RNAcentral.
GCGGGAGUAGCUCAGCGGUAGAGCGCCUGCUUCCCAAGCAGGAUGUCGCGGGUCCAAAUCCCGUCUCCCGCU